Ribosomal RNA from Danio rerio (zebrafish), 115 nucleotides. Lineage: Eukaryota; Metazoa; Chordata; Actinopteri; Cypriniformes; Danionidae. The record is from Ensembl.
GCUGGCAGCUAGCUCUCUGCAUCUCUCGCAUGGUUGCCCACUGGACCUAAGCAGGGCUGAGCCUGGUCAGUACCUGAAUGGGACACCACAUGGGAAGACUAGGUUGCUUCCAGAA